Long non-coding RNA from Ostrinia nubilalis (European corn borer), 283 nucleotides. RefSeq lists it as uncharacterized. The transcript has 3 exons. NCBI's taxonomy places the organism in Eukaryota, Metazoa, Arthropoda, Insecta, Lepidoptera, Crambidae. The record is from RefSeq and is a predicted model, not a curated record.
GCGCGCGCGCUUCGCCCGUUCUUAAAUACAGUCAAAUAUGGAAAUGGCCAGUCAUUCCGCGACAGGUGCGCGGCCGAGGCGUUCGUGCACGUGUGCUGUUAGUGAGUGCGCCGGCGCAGCCCCCGCCGCAGCCGACGGCAGCUAGCUGAUUAUUGGGAAUUUUCACUGUAUGGACAAUGGAUGGAGUUAUUGGAUUUGGAACCGAUGAACAGCUUGGCCGCGUGAAAGACACGUAUGUAUUUCUAAAUAAUAUUAUGUAGAGUCGACUGCAUAUCAAACUACA